CUUUCUCUCUUUUCUCUUCUUUUUUUUUUGCAGGAUCGACCUCGAUUCCUCUUCCGUUCACAAUAAGCUUCGGCAACUUACCGGACAACAGUCCACAAGUGCACUGAUUCGGACUCAACCUCAGUCUGAGUUGUCUUAACCUGGUCAAACGACUUGCCCCAGAUUCACCAGAUGCCCUACUUCUGCUUGGAACUUUGCCAUCAUGUCCUCAACAUGGCAUUUG
Molecule: long non-coding RNA, 223 nt
Filed under: Lathyrus oleraceus (garden pea)
Lineage: Eukaryota; Viridiplantae; Streptophyta; Magnoliopsida; Fabales; Fabaceae
Description: Pisum sativum (pea) long non-coding RNA (PSAT_LNC037939)
Source: RNAcentral